Candidatus Desulforudis audaxviator MP104C is the source of this 142-nucleotide regulatory RNA element. It matches the Rfam family "c-di-AMP riboswitch aptamer (ydaO/yuaA leader)". From Rfam's summary of the family: This family represents a conserved RNA structure found upstream of the ydaO and yuaA genes in Bacillus subtilis and related genes in other bacteria. Lineage: Bacteria; Bacillati; Bacillota; Clostridia; Thermoanaerobacterales; Desulforudaceae. The record is from Rfam.
AUUCAUAGAGCGCUGAGUUCCCGGGAAGAGUCCGGGAAGCGGGGGAACCACUUACUGGGGUGAAUCCCGGCAUACCGCCGGAUAGGGUUAUCUUUCGACCCGAACCCGUCAGCUAACCUCGCAAGCGUGGGAAGAUGGCCGG